Molecule: non-coding RNA, 77 nt
Filed under: Faecalibacterium prausnitzii
Lineage: Bacteria; Bacillati; Bacillota; Clostridia; Eubacteriales; Oscillospiraceae
Also listed under: 1 other name
Description: c-di-GMP sequence
Rfam family: c-di-GMP-I riboswitch aptamer
About the family: GEMM was predicted in a large-scale screen for bacterial structured RNA regulatory elements. Genes associated with GEMM are involved in a diverse array of functions, including chemotaxis regulation, signal transduction, secretion and chitin.
Source: RNAcentral
CUGAAGAAUCGGCAAGCCAGUCGAAAGGCUGCGACGCAAAGCUACAAGGGCCUGUAAUAUGGCAGCCAGCCGCACGU